Molecule: ribosomal RNA, 270 nt
Filed under: Bacillus sp. (in: firmicutes)
Lineage: Bacteria; Bacillati; Bacillota; Bacilli; Caryophanales; Bacillaceae
Description: Bacillus sp. (in: Bacteria) partial 16S ribosomal RNA
Rfam family: Bacterial small subunit ribosomal RNA
Source: RNAcentral
AAACCGGAGGAAGGUGGGGAUGACGUCAAAUCAUCAUGCCCCUUAUGACCUGGGCUACACACGUGCUACAAUGGACGGUACAAAGGGCUGCAAGACCGCGAGGUUUAGCCAAUCCCAUAAAACCGUUCUCAGUUCGGAUUGUAGGCUGCAACUCGCCUACAUGAAGCUGGAAUCGCUAGUAAUCGCGGAUCAGCAUGCCGCGGUGAAUACGUUCCCGGGCCUUGUACACACCGCCCGUCACACCACGAGAGUUUGUUACACCCGAACUGG